GAACGCUACCUCAGCUGUUCUAUGUACUCCGACUGGAAGAUGAUGUCACAAACAUCAACUGGGUGUACUCUCAUUGGCUUCUGUUACCUGGAAUCAUAUCUUAACCCUAAACUGUCAGCUGCAAAUUGAAAUGCUCAUCUCUGGCUAUAAUUUUGGCUGAAAGGGGAAUGAAAGUGAUGUUGAGCUCCUGGAGGACACUGUGGACACAUAAUGUGGAUUAAUGACCUUCGACUGGAUCUCGGUAGAUCAUUGUGCAGAAGCUCAUCACUCAACUUAAUCCACGAACUCGCCAAAGGUCAAUGGUGACUACAAAGUCUAUAGGAACCUUCUGCUUUGUCAUGAUGGGACCACUCCCAACCACCUUAUCAUUGUCAAACUCAUCUCUGAUUCUUCAGCAUCGUGAGGCCACCACGCUUUAUUUGGAAUCUACCUUUCUGUCCCAUAAUCAAGAAAGUUUCUCCAGGAAGAAAACAGACACAAUUUUCUGUAAAGAUACAGUAUAUCACUAUAUGGAAUUCAAAGCAUGUUCAACACUUUGUGCUAAGGCAUUGCUGCUUCAAAAUGUUUACAAUUUGAUCCUGUCUGAACCCAUUGAAUCUACUGCAACCAAAACUACAUUUGCACUAAACUCUAUGGCUGAAUCAAAGAGAGAGAGACAGAGUGUGAGCAGGGGAGGAGCAGAGAGAGAGGGAGACACAGAAUUCGAA
This is a long non-coding RNA of Felis catus (domestic cat), 707 nucleotides long. RefSeq lists it as uncharacterized. The record is from RefSeq and is a predicted model, not a curated record. NCBI's taxonomy places the organism in Eukaryota, Metazoa, Chordata, Mammalia, Carnivora, Felidae. The transcript has 5 exons.